GGCAGCCCUGGGUUGCGCGCGCAUCCAGACAGCCUCUCCAUUACCUCAACAUUGCAAUCCGCGGUGGCGCUGCUGACGUCAUCUUUAAUCAGAAAAAUAUGCGGGUUCUUCGGAGCAGCAAGCCACGCUCCUACAACUCCUCAAACUCCUGCAAAUCAAGUGUCAACAAACAGCGUCCGUUCAAAGCGCCGCUUCCUGACCUGAAAAAUAUGCGGGUUCUUCGGAGCAGCAAGCCACGCUCCU
Eriocheir sinensis (Chinese mitten crab) is the source of this 243-nucleotide long non-coding RNA. RefSeq lists it as uncharacterized. The record is from RefSeq and is a predicted model, not a curated record. The transcript is spliced from 3 exons. Lineage: Eukaryota; Metazoa; Arthropoda; Malacostraca; Decapoda; Varunidae.